Molecule: ribosomal RNA, 195 nt
Filed under: uncultured bacterium
Lineage: Bacteria
Description: partial 16S ribosomal RNA
Rfam family: Bacterial small subunit ribosomal RNA
Source: RNAcentral
AUUCCUACGGGAGGCAGCAGUGGGGAAUAUUGGUCAAUGGACGGAAGUCUGAACCAGCCAUUCCGCGUGCAGGAAGAAGAUUCUAUGGAUUGUAAACUGCUUUUAGCGGAGAAGAAAAGCCUUCAUUGAUGGGGGUCUGACGGUAUCUGCGGAAUAAGCACCGGCUAACUCCGUGCCAGCAGCCGCGGUAAUAAU